Acanthochromis polyacanthus (spiny chromis) is the source of this 517-nucleotide long non-coding RNA. RefSeq lists it as uncharacterized. The record is from RefSeq and is a predicted model, not a curated record. The transcript has 4 exons. Lineage: Eukaryota; Metazoa; Chordata; Actinopteri; Pomacentridae.
GAACAUCUCCAGAGUUUUAGGUCCUUGAAGUCCAGAGAGGAGAACGUCUCCUGGAGAAAGUUUUAGAACUUUCGCCAGUUGUCGGUAGGUCUACUCUAGAACUUUGUCCAAUUGUCGGUAGGUCUACUCUAGAACUUUCUACAGUUGUCAGUUGGUCUACUCUAGAACUUUCUACAGUUGUCAGUAGGUCUACUCUAGAACUUUCUACAGUUGUCAGUAGGUCUACUCUAGAACUUUCUCCAGUUGUCGUUAGGUCUACUCCAGAACUUUCUCCAGUGGUCGGUAGGUCUACUCUAGAACUUUCUACAGUUGUCGGUAGGUCUGCUCUACAACUUUCUACAGUUGUCGGUAGGUCUGCUCUACAACUUUCUACAGUUGUCGUUAGGUCUACUCUAGAACUUUCUCCAGUGGUCGGUAGGUCUGCUCUACAACUUUCUACAGUUGUCGGUAGGUCUGCUCUACAACUUUCUACAGUUGUCGGUAGGUCUGCUCUACAACUUUCUACAGUUGUCAGUAG